Molecule: long non-coding RNA, 2569 nt
Filed under: Sus scrofa (pig)
Lineage: Eukaryota; Metazoa; Chordata; Mammalia; Artiodactyla; Suidae
Description: lncRNA (ENSSSCG00000062256.1)
Source: RNAcentral
CUUCUCCUUUAACCCUCUGGACAGCCCAGCGAGCCGCUGCUUUCAUUAGCGCUUUAUCGAUGGAGAAGAUUAGCUGGCUUGAGGUCACACAGGAGGUAGUGGAGCCAGAAUUUGAGCCCAAGCAAGACCUGCACUCUCAGCGGAGUGCCUCUGCCAGCUUCUUGCUCUUUCACAGCUGAGAAAACAGAGGCUCUAAGCAGCCUGUCUUGGGUGACCCUUGAAACUGCAGAGUGAAGUGUCAGGACUAGAAUCCAGCAUAAGGGGCCAUCUCAUCAGUGGCUUUUGUACCCCCUGUACCACGAUGCCUCCCCUGUGAUCUUUCACCCUAGCACCAGAAAGCAGAGCAUGCCCAGGGUGUGGGGGGAAAGAUCAGAUCCCAAGGGCAGGGAGGGUUAGAGGCAGGAUGCCUGGUCCAGGACAUGGAGCGAAAGCCCCGGGACCCUGUGGCUGUGAGGCCAGAGCCAGUGUGAGCGGGAGCCACCGGAAGGCAGGAGAGCCAGGCGGGGCUGGAGGGACCAGCCAGGAUGGGCCUGCGGUGCGUGCGGCUGGGAGGAAGCCGAGGGCAGCGCUGGGUGGUCUGACCCUCGUUCCCCAGGCGCCCCUUCAGCCAGGGUUACGUGCCGGCAGCCCUCACACCAGCCCUGCCCCCGGAUGGCCUUCUCUGCUGCCCUGUGGACUCCCAGGCUGUUGUCUGUCAACACAGGGGGUGAAGUCUGGUCUCUUAAUAAGGAACCAAGCCCGGGCAAGACAGACCUGGGCCUGAUGCCGCCUCUUGGCAUCUGUAUAACUUUGCAAAGUUAGGUUAUGUCACGUCACCAUUGCACUCAUGCAAAUGAUAAGGUCACUGGUGCCAAGUGUGAAUGAGUUAACUGUGUCGGCAUCCAGCCUUCGGGCAGCACUGGGAGGAAUGCAUGUUCUCACCCCCUCAUGCAGAUGGAGGUAAAGUAGCCCCGGAAAUAGUGACACUUGCCGAGAUCACAUCCCUGAGGUUCCUGGCACAGCGUCCGAUAGAGAGGCACAGCCCUGGUCACCGCAGACCGUGCCCAGCAAGGAGACCGUGACCCCCAGUGUGGCCGUGGCCGUGCAGCCUUACGUCUGAGCUGCAUUGGUUGCUCCGAGUUUCACAUAUUUUGCGGAGACGGUGGCUUAUUUUAUAACCUGUAUCUACAGGGCCAAUUUAGCAAAUUAAUUUUUCUUGUAGUAAGUAUUUAAGAUUCAUUAGCCCUCGUCACUGAUGAUUUUCUCCUUGUUCUUUGGUUCCAUCUUUCAAGGCUGGAGAAAAAAGCCUGUUUGAUUUCAAAUCCAUCACCCCGCCCCACCCCUUUCUAGAUUUCAAAGUGAACUGUCCAUCUUGCCCUUGGAUGCAGUCCAGGCCUGCAUCAAUCUCCUCCCAGUGGUAAUAGUUUUAAGUCUUAGCAGGAAGUCUCUGGGAACCAAUUAAGUGGACUAAUACUUUGGAAGAGGGAGAAAAAGAGUGUUCUGAGGGAGGGACUUAAUUUACCAUGCAUCGCAAAAUUUUCCAAGUAAAUUAUUUUCAAGUCAACGUGGCCCUUCUCUUAGCCGUGACAGGAACACAUUUGGGUUUGAUUUAAAAAAUUCUAAUCUAUCACUGUCACCAUUCCUGCCGCAAUUUAAGGCUUCAGUGGUUUGCGGUAGAUAACAGUUGUUGCCUUUCCUGCAGGCUAAGAAGGCAGUGACUGUUUGCUAUAUUAACUAUCACAAAACAGACAAAAGGGGAAGGCAGGCGGGUGUAGACAGAAGAAGGCGUGUCAGGCCACAGUCCCUGGGGUGUUUGCUGCCCCCCGCCCCCCGCCAGCUGCUGCUCCACCUUGGUCCUUCCAUCCUGCACCUCUUUUUGGACCCUCACGGAAGUCACGCUUGCGGGUGAUGGUGAGGCGUCCUGGACAGUAGCCCGGGCCUCGGGGGCUCUUGAUGGACCGGGAGAAACUCAUAAGGGAACUACUUCUGGUAGAUGUACCUGCGGUGGGUGCUUCAGUCACAUGCCAGCCACCCAGGGACCUAGACGGAAAUUAGCCUUGAAAGACGGCUUCUGCUGGCCCUGGAGGGAGGCGUGCUCCAGGGCCGGCAGAAGCUGUUUCUGUGCCUGGUGGUUCUCCGCAUAUUGGCUGUAAUAGUCGUAGGGCUGGCCCCGUCUGGGGGCCCCUGUAAACCCAUCCACCGGGGCCCUGUGACGUGUGGGUACACUGUGAACAGCCAAACCUCUGCGAUGUCCGAGAUCAGACUCCUGCUGGAGCCAGGGGCUCACCACUUACUAGCUGAAGCCUCACACACUCCCUCUAAGCCUCAGUUUUUCAGUCUCUGAAAUGGGAAGCUGGAUAGUACCUUCCUUGUGAGGCGUGUCCAUUUCCUGGUGCAGCACAAGCCUCCAACUGGGGCCCAUUCUUAAAGCCCCCCAGUUAUGAUCCUUGUUUCCUUCUACCAUAACUUUUGCAGUAAUGAAAAAGGACAGAGCAGGAGUUCCUGUUGUGGCUCAGCAGGUUAAGAACCCGACUAGUAGCCAUGAGGAUGUGGUUUUGAUCCCCGCCUUGCUCAGUGGGUUAAGGAUCUG